GUCCAUGCCGUAAACUAUGAGAACUUGCUGUUGGAUGCAUAAAGGCAUUUAGUAGCGAAGCUAACGCGUUAAGUUCUCCGCCUGGGGAGUACGGCCGCAAGGCUAAAACUCAAAGGAAUUGACGGGGGCCCGCACAAGCGGUGGAGCAUGUGGUUUAAUUCGAUGCAACGCGAAGAACCUUACCUACUCUUGAAUCCACGGAAUCUGGUAGAGAUAUCGGAGUGCCUUGGGAACCGUGAGACAGGUGCUGCAUGGCUGUCGU
This 262-nucleotide ribosomal RNA is filed under the name uncultured bacterium. RNAcentral describes it as "partial 16S ribosomal RNA". It matches the Rfam family "Bacterial small subunit ribosomal RNA", at positions 793 to 1055 of the family's 1533-position model. The record is from RNAcentral.